RNAcentral lists this ribosomal RNA (112 nucleotides) under Polyangium sorediatum. Its description in RNAcentral is "partial 16S ribosomal RNA". It matches the Rfam family "Bacterial small subunit ribosomal RNA", at positions 1424 to 1533 of the family's 1533-position model. The record is from RNAcentral. Lineage: Bacteria; Pseudomonadati; Myxococcota; Polyangiales; Polyangiaceae.
AAGUGGCUGAGCCAACCCGCAAGGGAGGCAGGCCCCCAAGGAGUGGCUGGUAACUGGGGUGAAGUCGUAACAAGGUAGCCGUAGGGGAACCUGCGGCUGGAUCACCUCCUUU